RNAcentral lists this ribosomal RNA (162 nucleotides) under uncultured bacterium. Its description in RNAcentral is "partial 16S ribosomal RNA". It matches the Rfam family "Bacterial small subunit ribosomal RNA", at positions 355 to 509 of the family's 1533-position model. The record is from RNAcentral.
UAGGGAAUCUUCCACAAUGGACGAAAGUCUGAUGGAGCAACGCCGCGUGAGUGAAGAAGGGUUUCGGCUCGUAAAGCUCUGUUGGUAGUUAAGAAAGAUAGAGGUAGUAACUGGCCUUUAUUUGACGGUAAUUACUUAGAAAGUCACGGCUAACUACGUGCC